CCCUUAGAUGUUCUGGGCCGCACGCGCGCUACACUGAUGCAUUCAACGAGUCUAAAACCUGCUCUGAUAGGGGUGGGUAAUCUUUUGAAUGUGCAUCGUGAUUGGGAUAGAUGAUUGCAACUUUUCAUCUUCAACGAGGAAUGCCUAGUAAACGCAAGUCAUCAGCUUGCAUUGAUUACGUCCCUGCCCUUUGUACACACCGCCCGUCGCUCCUACCGAUUGAAUGAUCCGAUGAAUAUCAUGGAUUGAGGAUGCAAGCAGGUUCGCCUGUCUUCAUCUUCGAGAAGUGAAGUAAAUCUUAUCAUUUAGAGGAAGGAGAAGUCGUAACA
RNAcentral lists this ribosomal RNA (329 nucleotides) under uncultured eukaryote. RNAcentral describes it as "partial 18S ribosomal RNA". It matches the Rfam family "Eukaryotic small subunit ribosomal RNA", at positions 1470 to 1796 of the family's 1831-position model. The record is from RNAcentral.